Non-coding RNA from Pan troglodytes (chimpanzee), 148 nucleotides. It matches the Rfam family "Metazoan signal recognition particle RNA". Rfam says of the family: The signal recognition particle (SRP) is a universally conserved ribonucleoprotein. It is involved in the co-translational targeting of proteins to membranes. Lineage: Eukaryota; Metazoa; Chordata; Mammalia; Primates; Hominidae. The record is from Rfam.
GCCAGGCGUGGUGGUGCGCACCUGUAGUCCCAGCUACUCAGGAGGCUGAGGCAGGAGAAUCGCUUGAACCCAGGAGGCCAAGGUUGCAGUGAACCAAGAUCAUGCCACUGCACUCCAGCCUGGGUGACAGAGCGAGACUCUGUCUCAA